GCUGUAGUGGUGUAAGGGCAACAUCUGAGCUUCCCAGAACGAUCAAAUGAGUCUGCUCAGGCACCGAGUUCGAGUCUCGGCUACAGCA
Molecule: non-coding RNA, 88 nt
Organism: Xylaria curta
Lineage: Eukaryota; Fungi; Ascomycota; Sordariomycetes; Xylariales; Xylariaceae
Source: the annotation of a GenBank genome assembly